UUUUUAUUAAGUAAGUCUUGGUGACUCUCGUUUCAGGCGGUUCACACCAAAGAAUUAACAAAAAAAAAUUGUUUAAAUUAAUAAAUUAAAUGACUAACAUCAUCGGGUCAUCGUUUUCCAACGCCCGGUGAAAAACGUAGUAGGCUAGUUAAAAGCAAUAUUAUCGGCCCGCUACCAAAAAAAGAGAUGUUCAUUGCACUCUCAUGGCCAAGGAAUGGCGUUGUAGUUAUUUGUCCGGGUCUCAAAAGUUUUUUUGUGAAGGUCAAAUUCAAACAUUUCGGCGAUAGAGUGCUUUAAACUCUCGUGCUAAACGUAGCGCUGCAACCAGCAAAACAUGACAAUAAUUAAAAUAAGUGAUUGUGUGUUAAAAAUAGUCUAGAGGGCAAUAUUAGGACGAAAUUCUAAAAAAAAUUGAAAGUGAUUAGUUAAUGUGCAUGUGUUGAAGUCGGUCAGUUACAAUGGACUCGCGUCAUAUUUCGACGGCCGUUCAAUCUUGUUGUUUAUUAUGGACCUACAGUUUAACGUGGGUUAACGGUGGAACCACGAGUGCUUUUUGAAGACAAACACAAACAAUCAUGCCCUUGCCAGGAUUCGAACCUGAGACCACACGAUCGCAUCGUGAACACUGCCCACGGUGCUACCGGGAUCGACACUGAUGCAAAUUAACCUCUCAAUAUACCGAGAAUCUAUAUAAAAGUAUCAAUUUAUUGUAUUUUUGGUUUCUGUUGCAUCCCUCUCUUCUGAAAUAUUGGACAUUUAAAUUCUGUGCAUUAUUUAGUCUUUGGACCUUAACUGGUUGUUUUCUUUUUAAGGAGACUUCCAGCACUUGGGUGGAAAAUCCUGUUCACAAUUAUAUUAA
Long non-coding RNA from Anthonomus grandis grandis, 859 nucleotides. RefSeq lists it as uncharacterized. The transcript has 3 exons. Lineage: Eukaryota; Metazoa; Arthropoda; Insecta; Coleoptera; Curculionidae. The record is from RefSeq and is a predicted model, not a curated record.